GAUCUACAAAAUGGAGGACAGGUGUGAGGACAAAGUCAUGAAACCGAAUGAGAGUCACAUUUGUGUCAGACUCUUCUGGAACGUUUGGAUGUCCGUGAUGAGGAUAGAGAUGCAACUGGGUCUGCAUCUAGGACCUACUGCCAGUCAUCCAGAUGUAGCU
Long non-coding RNA from Poecilia reticulata (guppy), 160 nucleotides. RefSeq lists it as uncharacterized. Lineage: Eukaryota; Metazoa; Chordata; Actinopteri; Cyprinodontiformes; Poeciliidae. The record is from RefSeq and is a predicted model, not a curated record.